Molecule: long non-coding RNA, 301 nt
Filed under: Elaeis guineensis (African oil palm)
Lineage: Eukaryota; Viridiplantae; Streptophyta; Magnoliopsida; Arecales; Arecaceae
Description: long non-coding RNA (EGUI_LNC070530)
Source: RNAcentral
UUGAACCUGUGGGGUCACACACAUUAGAGGUUCCUAUCUGAUCUGAUGGCUGAUGUAGAAUCCUACAUGUUUGGGACUCAGUGAUCGAGAAUCAGGAUUCUCUGAUCAUGAGUUCCACACAUUAUGGGUACCAUGGUCAAGAGUCCCACUGGUUGGGAUUUUUCGAUCAGGGUUACAUAUCGAUGAAUUCUGAUGCCUGAUUGCCCAUCGAAUUUGGACUCAAUAUUUAUGAGAGGUUUAAUUAGUGAUUUGAUCGCUAAUUAACUCAAUUUGAUUGAGUAAUUAUUUUUGGAUCAAGUCC